Molecule: long non-coding RNA, 228 nt
Filed under: Brassica napus (rape)
Lineage: Eukaryota; Viridiplantae; Streptophyta; Magnoliopsida; Brassicales; Brassicaceae
Description: long non-coding RNA (BNAP_LNC012382)
Source: RNAcentral
UCCGUAGCCACUGCUAUCUCCUUGUCCUUUUGAAGAACCUUUAUCUUCCUCGAAUUAGAGCUCUCUCCCUUGUGGCCCAAAGCAUUGCAGAUGUUGCACCUAGGAGGCAACCAGGGGUAGCAUACAUCAAUCACCACUUGCACACCAUCCUUGUCCACAAAGCUGAUCUUCUCCACCAGCGGCUUAUUGAGGUCAAUCUCAACAAGAACUCAAGCCACGUCAAGCCAC